RNAcentral lists this ribosomal RNA (296 nucleotides) under uncultured bacterium. RNAcentral describes it as "partial 16S ribosomal RNA". It matches the Rfam family "Bacterial small subunit ribosomal RNA", at positions 28 to 324 of the family's 1533-position model. The record is from RNAcentral.
GACGAACGCUGGCGGCGUGCUUAACACAUGCAAGUCGAGCGGUAAGGCCCGUUUCGGGGGUACACGAGCGGCGAACGGGUGAGUAACACGUGGGUGACCUGCCCUCAGCUCUGGGAUAAGCCUGGGAAACCGGGUCUAAUACCGGAUAUGACUCCAUGACGCAUGUUGUGGGGUGGAAAGCCUUGUGCGGCUGAGGAUGGGCCCGCGGCCUAUCAGCUUGUUGGUGGGGUGAUGGCCUACCAAGGCGACGACGGGUAGCCGGCCUGAGAGGGCGACCGGCCACACUGGGACUGAGA